Long non-coding RNA from Gasterosteus aculeatus aculeatus (three-spined stickleback), 1021 nucleotides. The record is from Ensembl. Lineage: Eukaryota; Metazoa; Chordata; Actinopteri; Perciformes; Gasterosteidae.
GUCUCAAGGUGCACUAAAUCAUUGCGUUUCUGGUUCCAGAAGAGUGCAGUUGGAUAUUUUCUCUGGAAAGUAUCUGCGAUAUUUGUCCUUUACAGACGGAGCAAUUAGGGGUUAGGUGUCUUGCUCAAGGACACUUCGACAUGGAACAUGGAGCAGCCGGGACUUGAACCACCAACCUUGCAGUUCCUGGCGGUUAGGGUUAGGAGCACCCUCUCUACUCAAUGCGCCACGGUCGACCCCCUUUUUCAAGACUACACCCCUUUUCAGGGCUGACCAACAGUCUUUUUCAAGACUACACCCCUUUUAAGAGCUGACCAACAGUCUUUUUCAAGACUACACCCCUUUUCAGGGCUGACCAACAGUCUUUUUCAAGACUACACCCCUUUUAAGAGCUGACCAACAGUCUUUUUCAAGACUACACCCCUUUUCAGGGCUGACCAACAGUCUUUUUCAAGACUACACCCCUUUUUAGAGCUGACCAACAGUCUUUUUCAAGACUACACCCCUUUUCAGGGCUGACCAACAGUCUUUUUCAAGACUACACCCCUUUUCAGGGCUGACCAACAGUCUUUUUCAAGACUACACCCCUUUUAAGAGCUGACCAACAGUCUUUUUCAAGACUACACCCCUUUUCAGGGCUGACCAACAGUCUUUUUCAAGACUACACCCCUUUUAAGAGCUGACCAACAGUCUUUUUCAAGACUACACCCCUUUUAAGAGCUGACCAACAGUCUUUUUCAAGACUACACCCCUUUUCAGGGCUGACCAACAGUCUUUUUCAAGACUACACCCCUUUUAAGAGCUGACCAACAGUCUUUUUCAAGACUACACCCCUUUUCAGGGCUGACCAACAGUCUUUUUCAAGACUACACCCCUUUUAAGAGCUGACCAACAGUCUUUUUCAAGACUACACCCCUUUUCAGGGCUGACCAACAGUCUUUUUCAAGACUACACCCCUUUUUGGGGUUCAACUGUGGGUUUUCCCUCCAUCUAUGGGUUUCCCACGUAAAAAAAAAAAAAU